GCGGGGAUGCCGGAGCGGUCAAACGGGAUGGACUCAAAAUCCAUUGGCUUAGUGCCUACGCAGGUUCGAACCCUGUUCCCCGCA
Molecule: transfer RNA, 84 nt
Filed under: Candidatus Nanoarchaeia archaeon
Lineage: Archaea; Nanobdellati; Nanobdellota; Candidatus Nanoarchaeia
Description: tRNA-Leu
Rfam family: tRNA
About the family: Transfer RNA (tRNA) molecules are approximately 80 nucleotides in length.
Source: RNAcentral